Molecule: long non-coding RNA, 544 nt
Organism: Bolinopsis microptera
Lineage: Eukaryota; Metazoa; Ctenophora; Tentaculata; Lobata; Bolinopsidae
Exons: 2
Source: RefSeq, a predicted model, not a curated record
CAAGCUAAUGGACGUUUCUAAGCAAUUGCUUGAAGUUAAAAUUUUUCUAUGAACAGCGUUCCAAAGCUUGGCUGCAUUAAACAAAAAGGUGUUUGAUUUAUUUAGGAGAAUAACCAUUAGACUCGUUGCACGGUUUGAAAUGUUGAUAGCCUCAUAAAGGGAGUAUGGGCAGUGGUACUUGAUAAUCUUAGAGAAUUCUAAAAUACAGUGAUAUUUGUACAAGUUUUGAGCCGUAAGAAUUUUUAAUCUAUUAAAAAUGGGUUUUGUAUGCUCCUUUUCAAAGUGUUUAUGCAUUAUAUAUUUUCAAAUAUAGUUCAGAAGGUAUCGAGUGCCGAAUUCUGCAGAUUGCACCAGUCAUAGAUCUCAGUUUUUUACGGAUGUAGUGCAUGUGGGCAAUCCAGUUUAGCUUACUAUCUAUAACAACACCUAAGAAUUUGGUAUCCUUGACUUUAGUAAUAACCUUACCAUUGAUGAAUAUUGAUCUAGAUUCAUCUAGCAGGAUAGCAAAUGGUCUGGUCCGUGCACAGGUGUCAUCAUAUUCAGA